RNAcentral lists this ribosomal RNA (140 nucleotides) under uncultured eukaryote. Its description in RNAcentral is "partial 18S ribosomal RNA". It matches the Rfam family "Eukaryotic small subunit ribosomal RNA", at positions 1299 to 1458 of the family's 1831-position model. The record is from RNAcentral.
UGGUGGAGUGAUUUGUCUGGUUAAUUCCGUUAACGAACGAGACCUUAGCCUACUAACUAGUCGCACCAAGCACGCUUGGCGCCGACUUCUUAGAGGGACUUUGUGCUUUUUAAACUACAAGGAAGUUUGAGGCAAUAACA